AUGAAGUAUGAAAGGAAAAUCCUGGGCAAUAGUCAUUGUUUUCGUAGAUAUGGUCUUUAAGCACUUGAACCCACUUGGAUCUCGACGAGACAGAUAGAAGUAGGAUGAAGGGCAAUAACACGGGAAGCACAUCGUGAUGGAAAAAUAUGGGUACAUGUAUUUCCCCAGAAACCGGAUACACUACGAUCCACAGAAACACAUAUGGACUUUGGGAAGGGGUCCCUCGAAUAUUAGGUAGCCGUUGUUAAACCAGGCCGUGUACUUUAUAAAAUGGGAGUAUCUGAAACUGUAGCUAGAGCAUCUAUCUCUAUAGCUGCCAGUAAAAUGCCCAUACAAAGUUAAUUUAUUCGAUUAGAGAUACGAAUCCCACGAGACUAG
Molecule: ribosomal RNA, 378 nt
Filed under: Triticum aestivum (bread wheat)
Lineage: Eukaryota; Viridiplantae; Streptophyta; Magnoliopsida; Poales; Poaceae
Description: partial small subunit ribosomal RNA
Source: RNAcentral